This 1780-nucleotide long non-coding RNA is filed under the name Homo sapiens (human). Its description in RNAcentral is "non-protein coding lnc-TRAK1-8:1". Lineage: Eukaryota; Metazoa; Chordata; Mammalia; Primates; Hominidae. The record is from RNAcentral.
AAGACAAUUUCCCUAAUAGACUUUCUGACUGAGGAAGGGCAGACUGGAGGAGGAAGCACCUAUAUCCCCAGACUGGGCUGAUGAAACAGAUGAGCCAGAAGGAAAUGCUUCAACCACUUGGCACACUAAUGAUGAGAUGUGUAUAGGACAUCUCCAAUUGGUCAUUCCAUUCUUUUCACUGCUCCACAGGAUGCUGGAGAACCCCAUAUUGAUUGGAGCCAUCUUCCCAAAUCACCAUCCUACAAUGCUCUUCUAGGGAACUUGCUCUAUGAUGUGAUAGAAGACUCAAUUAAGGAAUUAUUUAGAGGAUUAAAUAUUGAUACAGCACACUGACCACAUGAACCCGGCAUCCAGAGAGGUUGAAAGUUUUAGUUAUCCUGAGUUUGAGGACCUGGAUGCCCUGUUCAGUACCCUGGGUCUCAAUGAAGAGUCUGUAGGUAACAGGAUAAUUAGAGUGGACAUUGCUGACCAAGCACAGGAUAAAGACAGGGAUGACUGUCCUCUUGGCCAGGAUAGAAAUUAGGAUACUGACAAAACAGAUAUACUGGAGGUCCAUCCUGCCACAGACAGCUUUGAUGACUACCUGCCUAGAAGAGGUGUUGAUAGCUUUGGAGACAAGUAUCAAGAUCAUGCAAUUCAGACCAGUAUCAUGAUGGGUGUCAGGACAGGUUUAGAGAUGGCUCACACCAGGAUAUGGGUCAAUGUGGGGGCCGGGAUUAAGAUGAUGACUGAGGCAGCAGAGACUAUGAUAGAGGCUAUGAUUCUGCAACAGGCAGUUGCAGAAGAGCAUUUGGUAGUGGGUACCUCAGAGAUGAUGACUACUGAGGAGGUGGAUGAAGGCCAAUAAGACAGACAGGACAAUUGGUCAUGGAACUCCAGAGAUGAUUACUCUUAGGGUGAUUAUAGGCAUGAUGAUAGGGGUCCCUCCCAAAGAUCAGAGCCUCAGAGCAUUCAUAAGGAAGAUGAUCCCUCUUCUAGCACCCCCUCAGCUCAGUUGAGUGGCUUCUAUCUUUGGAGGGGGAAAGUCCAUUGACACAGUUGCUAGAAAAAGAGAAGCAGAAGAACAGCUACAGAAGAAACAAGAGAAACCAUAUUGACAGCUGGAUGAGCCAAAUCUAGAACAAUGGCCUCUGGAGAGACAUCCAAGCUGGCAAAGUGAAGAAACUCAGGAACGGGAAUGGUGGAGGACGGGAAGUGAGCCAGUGCAGACUGCGACCCCAGCCACAUCAGGCAGAAGCAAGUCAGACCAGGACACAUGAAGAAGAGAGAGUGAGAAGUCUCUAGAAAAUGAAACACUCAAUAAAGAGAAACACUGCCAGUCUCCAAUUUCUAAGCCUUCCAAACCUGAUCAACUCCUAAAGGUGAUUCGAGCCCCUCCACCAAAGGAGACUGCUUAGGUGAAGAGAAGUUCUAAUCCUCUUAUUCCAUCUCAGAGCUCAGAAACAGAGCAGCAACCCCCUACAGGUAGUGAGGGAAAAGUACCUCCAGUUCAACCCUCAGAGGAAAGACCAGCAAAGAAAGAUGAAAAUAAAGUAGACGGGAUGAAUGUCCAAAAGUCCAAAGUGGGAACUCGGGCCGUGGUCCAGGAGAUGGAGGGAACAAAGACUGCUGGAGGGAGUCAGACAGGAAAGAUGGCAAAAAAGAUCAAGUCUGCAGAUCUGCACCUGAGUCAAAGAAACCUGAGGAAAAUCCAGCCUCCAAGUUCAGUUCUGCAAGCAAGUGUGCUGCUGUCUCUGUUGAUGGUGAAGAUGAAAAGGAAGGAGCAGAUUACACCAAAUAG